RNAcentral lists this small nucleolar RNA (160 nucleotides) under Hordeum vulgare subsp. vulgare (domesticated barley). Its description in RNAcentral is "Small nucleolar RNA Z112". It matches the Rfam family "Small nucleolar RNA Z112". From Rfam's summary of the family: Z112 is a member of the C/D class of snoRNA which contain the C (UGAUGA) and D (CUGA) box motifs. The record is from Rfam by way of RNAcentral. Lineage: Eukaryota; Viridiplantae; Streptophyta; Magnoliopsida; Poales; Poaceae.
AUUCCGUGUGAAGAUUCUCAGACCAUAGGAAGUGCCGUAUGACACUGUAAACUGGUGCUUCUGACACUGUAAACUUUGUGGUUUGGUCUGUUCCGAAAUCUCUAUUUGCAGCUGGUAUGGUUCAGCUGUUUGCGUGAUUUUAAGUGGUUCUCCGAGGGAU